GGAAAUGUGCCUGAAUGUUAGGGGUCACUAUGAUAAAGUGAACAUAGAGGUUUACCAAUCCUCUCAUUUCCU
Molecule: transfer RNA, 72 nt
Filed under: Falco ardosiaceus
Lineage: Eukaryota; Metazoa; Chordata; Aves; Falconiformes; Falconidae
Description: tRNA-Ile
Source: RNAcentral